AUUAUAAUAAAGCCAAUAAAAAUCACGUCUCAGGAUUCCAAUGGGUCGUAUUAAGCUGACGUCAUUGUCCAAGAUAAAAAAUGUCCCUGCAAUCAGCCAUUUUAGGAAAAGAAAGUGAAUGAAGAGAGAAGCCUAGACAUGAAGCAGAAGGUGCGUGAUAAAGGUAUAGAAGAUGGUAGAGGACCAUUCGCAAAGGCCUGCUGUGUCGACUCCUGGAAGCUAUUAGGCGCAGCAACGUCUUCGCCCAGAGGAGAAAUGCACGGGCACUGACCGCAGCGGAAGACUUACAGUAUUCUAUGCUGAAAGAAGUUAACCAGCAUGUCAGUGAUUUCAAAUUUGAGUCAAACUGACAUUGAUUAUAGCAGGUGGUUCCCUUUGCAAACAACUAGUCUGGUUGUUAUUUAGUCUAGUUGUAGUGUCACUAAUCUGAUGGGCAACUAAUUAUGUGCAGUCUAGUGAUGCACACAAGUAGCUGCUGGACAGUUAACCCGCUAAGUUGUAUUGUAAUUAUAUUAAUUCUUCCUAUUUGUCAGAGAACAGGAAGGAAGACCCCUCCCUGUCUUACCUGAAAGUAACCUGCCGGUGUGUGAGAUUAAAACCAUGCAGCUCUACAGGAGCUUCUUCUGUAUUUAUCUGAGAUUAAGGUGCACUGUGGCACAGAGGUGAGCCUGCAGGAGCA
Paramormyrops kingsleyae is the source of this 679-nucleotide long non-coding RNA. RefSeq lists it as uncharacterized. The record is from RefSeq and is a predicted model, not a curated record. NCBI's taxonomy places the organism in Eukaryota, Metazoa, Chordata, Actinopteri, Osteoglossiformes, Mormyridae.